GAUGAACGCUGGCGGCGUGCCUAAUACAUGCAAGUCGAGCGAACGGACGAGAAGCUUGCUUCUCUGAUGUUAGCGGCGGACGGGUGAGUAACACGUGGAUAACCUACCUAUAAGACUGGGAUAAUUUCGGGAAACCGGAGCUAAUACCGGAUAAUAUUUUGAACAGCAUGGUUCAAAAGUGAAAGACGGUCUUGCUGUCACUUAUAGAUGGAUCCGCGCUGCAUUAGCUAGUUGGUAAGGUAACGGCUUACCAAGGCAACGAUGCAUAGCCGACCUGAGAGGGUGAUCGGCCACACUGGAACUGAGACACGGUCCAGACUCCUACGGGAGGCAGCAGUAGGGAAUCUUCCGCAAUGGGCGAAAGCCUGACGGAGCAACGCCGCGUGAGUGAUGAAGGUCUUCGGAUCGUAAAACUCUGUUAUUAGGGAAGAACAUAUGUGUAAGUAACUGUGCACAUCUUGACGGUACCUAAUCAGAAAGCCACGGCUAACUACGUG
This 497-nucleotide ribosomal RNA is filed under the name uncultured bacterium. RNAcentral describes it as "partial 16S ribosomal RNA". It matches the Rfam family "Bacterial small subunit ribosomal RNA", at positions 28 to 507 of the family's 1533-position model. The record is from RNAcentral.